UGAAACUAGAUACAAGCGAGCGGCGGACGGGUGAGUAACACGUGGGUAACCUGCCCAAGAGACUGGGAUAACACCUGGAAACAGAUGCUAAUACCGGAUAACAACACUAGACGCAUGUCUAGAGUUUGAAAGAUGGUUCUGCUAUCACUCUUGGAUGGACCUGCGGUGCAUUAGCUAGUUGGUAAGGUAACGGCUUACCAAGGCAAUGAUGCAUAGCCGAGUUGAGAGACUGAUCGGCCACAUUGGGACUGAGACACGGCCCAAACUCCUACGGGAGGCAGCAGUAGGGAAUCUUCCACAAUGGACGAAAGUCUGAUGGAGCAACGCCGCGUGAGUGAAGAAGGGUUUCGGCUCGUAAAGCUCUGUUGGUAGUGAAGAAAGAUAGAGGUAGUAACUGGCCUUUAUUUGACGGUAAUUACUUAGAAAGUCACGGCUAACUACGUGCCAGCAGCCGCGGUAAUACGUAGGUGGCAAGCGUUGUCCGGAUUUAUUGGGCGUAAAGCGAGUGCAGGCGGUUCAAUAAGUCUGAUGUGAAAGCCUUCGGCUCAACCGGAGAAUUGCAUCAGAAACUGUUGAACUUGAGUGCAGAAGAGGAGAGUGGAACUCCAUGUGUAGCGGUGGAAUGCGUAGAUAUAUGGAAGAACACCAGGGGCGAAGGCGGCUCUCUGGUCUGCAACUGACGCUGAGGCUCGAAAGCAUGGGUAGCGAACAGGAUUAGAUACCCUGGUAGUCCAUGCCGUAAACGAUGAGUGCUAAGUGUUGGGAGGUUUCCGCCUCUCAGUGCUGCAGCUAACGCAUUAAGCACUCCGCCUGGGGAGUACGACCGCAAGGUUGAAACUCAAAGGAAUUGACGGGGGCCCGCACAAGCGGUGGAGCAUGUGGUUUAAUUCGAAGCAACGCGAAGAACCUUACCAGGUCUUGACAUCCAGUGCAAACCUAAGAGAUUAGGUGUUCCCUUCGGGGACGCUGAGACAGGUGGUGCAUGGCUGUCGUCAGCUCGUGUCGUGAGAUGUUGGGUUAAGUCCCGCAACGAGCGCAACCCUUGUCAUUAGUUGCCAUCAUUAAGUUGGGCACUCUAAUGAGACUGCCGGUGACAAACCGGAGGAAGGUGGGGAUGACGUCAAGUCAUCAUGCCCCUUAUGACCUGGGCUACACACGUGCUACAAUGGACGGUACAACGAGAAGCGAACCUGCGAAGGCAAGCGGAUCUCUU
This 1213-nucleotide ribosomal RNA is filed under the name Lactobacillus johnsonii. Its description in RNAcentral is "bacterial SSU rRNA". It matches the Rfam family "Bacterial small subunit ribosomal RNA", at positions 74 to 1277 of the family's 1533-position model. Lineage: Bacteria; Bacillati; Bacillota; Bacilli; Lactobacillales; Lactobacillaceae. The record is from RNAcentral.